This 497-nucleotide ribosomal RNA is filed under the name uncultured bacterium. Its description in RNAcentral is "partial 16S ribosomal RNA". It matches the Rfam family "Bacterial small subunit ribosomal RNA", at positions 28 to 507 of the family's 1533-position model. The record is from RNAcentral.
GAUGAACGCUGGCGGCGUGCCUAAUACAUGCAAGUCGAGCGAACAGACGAGGAGCUUGCUCCUCUGACGUUAGCGGCGGACGGGUGAGUAACACGUGGAUAACCUACCUAUAAGACUGGGAUAACUUCGGGAAACCGGAGCUAAUACCGGAUAAUAUAUUGAACCGCAUGGUUCAAUAGUGAAAGACGGUUUUGCUGUCACUUAUAGAUGGAUCCGCGCCGCAUUAGCUAGUUGGUAAGGUAACGGCUUACCAAGGCAACGAUGCGUAGCCGACCUGAGAGGGUGAUCGGCCACACUGGAACUGAGACACGUUCCAGACUCCUACGGGAGGCAGCAGUAGGGAAUCUUCCGCAAUGGGCGAAAGCCUGACGUAGCAACGCCGCGUGAGUGAUGAAGGUCUUCGGAUCGUAAAACUCUGUUAUUAGGGAAGAACAAAUGUGUAAGUAACUAUGCACGUCUUGACGGUACCUAAUCAGAAAGCCACGGCUAACUACGUG